CCUACGGGUUGCAGCAGUGGGGAAUAUUGGACAAUGGGCGCAAGCCUGAUCCAGCAAUGCCGCGUGUGUGAAGAAGGCCUUCGGGUUGUAAAGCACUUUUAUCAGGAACGAAAUACCACGGGUUAAUACCCUAUGGGGCCGACGGUACCUGAGGAAUAAGCACCGGCUAACUCCGUGCCAGCAGCCGCGGUAAUACGAAGGGUGCAAGCGUUAAUCGGAAUUACUGGGCGUAAAGCGUGCGUAGGCGGUUUGUUAAGUCUGCUGUGAAAGCCCUGGGCUCAACCUGGGAAUGGCAGUGGAAACUGGCGAGCUAGAGUGUGAUAGAGGAUGGUGGAAUUCCCGGUGUAGCGGCGAAAUGCGUAGAGAUCGGGAGGAACAUCAGUGGCGAAGGCGGCCAUCUGGAUCGACACUGACGCUGAGGCACGAAAGCGUGGGGAGCAAACAGGAUUAGAUACCCGUGUAGUC
Molecule: ribosomal RNA, 465 nt
Filed under: uncultured bacterium
Lineage: Bacteria
Description: bacterial SSU rRNA
Rfam family: Bacterial small subunit ribosomal RNA
Source: RNAcentral